This 484-nucleotide ribosomal RNA is filed under the name uncultured bacterium. RNAcentral's name for it is "partial 16S ribosomal RNA". It matches the Rfam family "Bacterial small subunit ribosomal RNA", at positions 30 to 507 of the family's 1533-position model. The record is from RNAcentral.
AUUGAACGCUGGCGGCAGGCCUAACACAUGCAAGUCGAGCGGAUGAAGGGAGCUUGCUCCUGGAUUCAGCGGCGGACGGGUGAGUAAUGCCUAGGAAUCUGCCUGGUAGUGGGGGAUAACGUCCGGAAACGGGCGCUAAUACCGCAUACGUCCUGAGGGAGAAAGUGGGGGAUCUUCGGACCUCACGCUAUCAGAUGAGCCUAGGUCGGAUUAGCUAGUUGGUGGGGUAAAGGCCUACCAAGGCGACGAUCCGUAACUGGUCUGAGAGGAUGAUCAGUCACACGGGAACUGAGACACGGUCCAGACUCCUACGGGAGGCAGCAGUGGGGAAUAUUGGACAAGGGGCGAAAGCCUGAUCCAGCCAUGCCGCGUGUGUGAAGAAGGUCUUCGGAUUGUAAAGCACUUUAAGUUGGGAGGAAGGGCAGUAAGUUAAUACCUUGCUGUUUUGACGUUACCAACAGAAUAAGCACCGGCUAACUUCGUG